GACGAACGCUGGCGGCGUGCUUAACACAUGCAAGUCGAACGGACAGGCCCUGCUUUUGUGGGUUGCUCGAGUGGCGAACGGGUGAGUAACACGUGAGUAACCUGCCCUUGACUUUGGGAUAACUUCAGGAAACUGGGGCUAAUACCGGAUAGGAGCUCCUGCUGCAUGGUGGGGGUUGGAAAGUUUCGGCGGUUGGGGAUGGAUUCGCGGCUUAUCCGCUUGUUGGUGGGGUAGUGGCUUACCAAGGCUUUGACGGGUAGCCGGCAUGAGAGGGUGACCGGACACAUUGGGACUGAGAGACGGCGCAGACGCCUACGGGAGGCAGCAGUGGGGAAUAUGGCACAAUGGGCGGAAGCCUGAUGCAGCAACGCCGCGUGCGGGAUGACGGCCUUCGGGUUGUAAACCGCUUUCGCAUGUGACGAAGCGUGAGUGACGGUAAUGGGUAAAGAAGCACCGGCUAACUACGUG
This 468-nucleotide ribosomal RNA is filed under the name uncultured bacterium. RNAcentral describes it as "partial 16S ribosomal RNA". It matches the Rfam family "Bacterial small subunit ribosomal RNA", at positions 28 to 507 of the family's 1533-position model. The record is from RNAcentral.